Molecule: ribosomal RNA, 400 nt
Filed under: Fruticicola fruticum
Lineage: Eukaryota; Metazoa; Mollusca; Gastropoda; Stylommatophora; Camaenidae
Description: partial 16S ribosomal RNA
Rfam family: Bacterial large subunit ribosomal RNA
Source: RNAcentral
AUUUAAUACAGUGACUUCUGCUCAGUGAAGUUUAAACAGCCGCAGUACCUUGACUGUGCAAAGGUAGCAUAAUCAGUUGGCCUAUAAUUGAGGUCUAGUAUGAAUGAAAUAAUGGGGAUAAUCUGUAUCCAUAGUGUACUCAGAAUUUACUUAUUAGGUGAAAACUCCUAUAACUAAAUAAUAGACGAGAAGACCCUAGAAAUUUUCUAGAACAAGUUCUCCUUGCUUUUUGUUGGGGCGACACAGUAGCAGAGAACCGAACCUACUGAGUAUUAUGUGAUUAGUAUGUUAUGAGUAAAUAAAUUACUCUAGGGAUAACAGCAUAAUAUUAGAAAGUUUGUGACCUCGAUGUUGGACUAGGAAAGUAUAGCCCAGAAGGUUAUUAUUAAGGCUCUGUUCG